RNAcentral lists this ribosomal RNA (292 nucleotides) under uncultured bacterium. Its description in RNAcentral is "partial 16S ribosomal RNA". It matches the Rfam family "Bacterial small subunit ribosomal RNA", at positions 505 to 796 of the family's 1533-position model. The record is from RNAcentral.
GUGUCAGCAGCCGCGGUAAUACAGAGGUGGCAAGCGUUGUUCGGAAUUACUGGGCGUAAAGGGCGCGUAGGCGGUUCGUUAAGUCCUGUGUGAAAUCCCCCGGCUCAACUGGGGAACUGCACAGGAAACUAGCGGGCUUGAGUUCGGGAGAGGGAAGCGGAAUUCCGGGUGUAGCGGUGAAAUGCGUAGAUAUCCGGAGGAACACCGGUGGCGAAGGCGGCUUCCUGGACCGACACUGACGCUGAGGCGCGAAAGCUAGGGGAGCAAACGGGAUUAGAUACCCCCGUAGUCC